AACGGCCGUACCAUGCUGUAUAUACCGGUUCUCGUUAGAUCACCGAAGUUAAGCAUCAUUGGGCGCGGUCAGUACUUGGGUGGGUGACCACCUGGGAACACUGCGUGCCGUU
Molecule: ribosomal RNA, 112 nt
Filed under: Caerostris darwini
Lineage: Eukaryota; Metazoa; Arthropoda; Arachnida; Araneae; Araneidae
Source: RNAcentral